GCAGCAGCCGCGGUAAUACGAAGGGUGCAAGCGUUACUCGGAAUUACUGGGCGUAAAGCGUGCGUAGGUGGUGGUUUAAGUCCGUUGUGAAAGCCCUGGGCUCAACCUGGGAAUUGCAGUGGAUACUGGGUCACUAGAGUGUGGUAGAGGAUAGUGGAAUUUCCGGUGUAGCAGUGAAAUGCGUAGAGAUCGGAAGGAACAUCUGUGGCGAAGGCGACUAUCUGGGCCAACACUGACACUGAGGCACGAAAGCGUGGGGAGCAAACAGGAUUAGAUACCCGAGUAGUCCCUGUCUCUUAUAA
This 302-nucleotide ribosomal RNA is filed under the name uncultured bacterium. RNAcentral's name for it is "partial 16S ribosomal RNA". It matches the Rfam family "Bacterial small subunit ribosomal RNA", at positions 508 to 809 of the family's 1533-position model. The record is from RNAcentral.